RNAcentral lists this ribosomal RNA (489 nucleotides) under uncultured bacterium. Its description in RNAcentral is "bacterial SSU rRNA". It matches the Rfam family "Bacterial small subunit ribosomal RNA", at positions 28 to 507 of the family's 1533-position model. The record is from RNAcentral.
GACGAACGCGUGGCGGCGUGGAGUUAGGCAUGCAAGUCGAACGGUAUCAUCCUUUCGGGGGUGAGAGAGUGGCGAACUGGUGAGUAACACGUAGGUUAUCUACCCUCAAGACGGGACGAACCCAGGGAAACUUGGGCUAAUACCGGAUGUGAGCAACUUUUAGUUGUUUGAAAGGUGGCGUAAGCUGUCGCUUGGGGAUGAGCCUGCGUCCUAUUAGUUAGUUGGUGAGGUAACGGCUCACCUAGGCAAUGAUAGGUAGGCGGCCUUAACGGGUGGUCGCCCACACUGGGAUUGAGAUACGGCCCAGACUCCUACGGGAGGCAGCAGUCGAGAAUAGUCUACAAUGGUCGGAAGACUGAUAGUGCGACGCCGCGUGAACGAUGAAUCCCUUCGGGGUGUAAAGUUCUUUUAUAUGUGAGCAGUGCUUCUUAUAUUAACAGUAUGGGGAGAGAGAUAUUAGCAUAUGAAUAAGCAACGGCUAACUCCGUG